CAGCUUCCCAACUGCUAUGGGAACAGAAGCCAAGAGGCUGGAUGAAGGACAGAGCUGCAAAGCUGGGUGGGACAGACUGUACAGCCAAACUGUGUGAAAGGACCACGGGUAGCAGCCCUGCGUGUGUGAGUGGGCGCGGGCCUCAUUCAGCAAUGAUUUCUAAUUUAUACAGCAUUGAAAAUCCACAGCUAUAAAUAAACAGUUCUGACUGGCUUUGCUGCCUACUCAAGUGCUUUAUUAAAAAAAAAAAAAGAAAGAAAGAAAGAAAAGAAAAAGAGCCACCAACUGCAUGAGAGAGGAAAACAAUGUCUGGGUGUUUUGUUGCUUCUCCUUUCUUAAGCUCCAGCAGCCCCCUGCAUCAAGGAGGUGCUCCUGUAUAUUUGCUCAAUGGUUGGUGGUUCUCAGCCCAGCAGAAUAAUAGAAUUAAAGGACCCUCUGGCCCCAUAUUUUCAUGCCGACUUCCCACAGAAGCAUGUAAGAUGGUCACAGUUGCAUCUGAGGCCAGAAGACAAACACAACCUGGAUUCACAUUUUGUCAAUAAAUUCAACAAGUUAGCCGACUUCCUACAAUGAAAAUGCCUGCAACAAUGGCUGGGACCUGGUGAUUCUUUAAGUGUGUCGCAGGGCUGCCCUCCAUCCUGCGGGUACCGAGGUAUCAUUCUUCAGAUUGACUGAUACUGUCAUCAGCUGGCUAACAUCAAUUCUCCCGAGUUAGCACAAAUGCCACUAACUGGCAUCCCGAUCUUGUUCCUCUUUAAUUGCCACAAUUCAUCCAGAGUCCAGUCAUCUUUCUUACACAAGCCACAUUGUAUCUCUCCUCCGCUGAAAACUUUCCCACAGACAAGCCCUCAGGUUCAAAGUCUGGACUCACUGAUAUGAAUUGAUGAUCCAGAUUUUCUCUGUCUUCCAGGUCAACCCUCUCCUCAGCAACUCCAGCCCUUUGCAGAUGCUGUUCCCUCUGCCUAAAGGUCUUUUACAUGUCUCUUUUGACUUACUCUUACUCAUUCUUUGGGUCUCAGCUUAGACAUCAAUUUCCUUCGGAAGCUAGCUCAAAACAUCCCUCCUGGGCACCCACAGCACCCUGCGCUUCCCCCUCAUUCUGUCGUCCCUUUAUUUGGGCACUUCCUUCUCUCUCAAACAGUCCCUAAAGGUGGCAUGGUGACUUUUCCAUCACUGUAUCCUCACUCACUUAGCACAGUGCCCAGAGCUGAUGAAUAAUUGAAUGGACACAGGAUGCAUUCAUACAGGACCCCCACCUCAUUGCACCUCCUCUCUCCAACCCCCCAAUUCCCUGCAUGGUCUGAUCACGUGUCCAGGCACUGACAAGCUAAGCCCUAUUCACCACUGCUUCUCAUCUUUAUGUCCACCACAAUUUUUCCCCAAAAUACCAGGGGCUUUUGUGGGCUUUUACCUUCUUGGUCUCUGAAGAUAAAAAGGCAACAGUCAGAUGUGACAGUCGACGACCAACUUCCAAGUCCUUAGGUAGAAAAAGUUAACAGACUGGGUGCCUGGGUGGCUCAGUUGGUUAAGCAUCUGCCUUCAGCUCAGGUCAUGA
Molecule: non-coding RNA, 1555 nt
Organism: Callorhinus ursinus (northern fur seal)
Lineage: Eukaryota; Metazoa; Chordata; Mammalia; Carnivora; Otariidae
Source: RefSeq, a predicted model, not a curated record